This 3016-nucleotide ribosomal RNA is filed under the name Triticum aestivum (bread wheat). RNAcentral describes it as "partial small subunit ribosomal RNA". Lineage: Eukaryota; Viridiplantae; Streptophyta; Magnoliopsida; Poales; Poaceae. The record is from RNAcentral.
CGCGUAUAAGCGAACUAAAACGACGAGACCAAGAACGACGACGAAGAAGAAACGAAGCCCCUUAACCCAACAGACUAGACUCACCCACGUUGACGUUGGCGUUGGCGUUGGCGUUAGCUAGAAAAAAGAAAUAAAAAGAAAGAAAGACACACCACGACGACGAUAGUCGAGGUUACUAACCAACCACUCGAAAAGAACCGAAAACUCACGCCGCUAUCCAUACACCGAUCGACCAGAGAGACUUAACGCUCCCGAAGAAGAACCACAAAGACAGGCCCAAGAAGUCAAGUCCUCGACCCUCUCUAACCCUCGGGACCGACACCUAAAAUCACGUCGGACCUCAAACAAAAGAACUCCUUGACUUCCAUAACCCCCCAAAACCGGCGUUCAAGAACCAAGGGGACAAAAACAACGGACUUCUUUAAUAGGGGAGAAGUGGAGAAACGAUGGUCACCUCGACCGAAACCUCGAACCAAUGUCACCCUUAAGGAAGGUAGAAACGAACGACUAGGAACUUAGAAACAAAGUAACCUACGGAACUACUUUGGGUACGAUUUAGUAGGGCUUAGUAGCCACGUGCGGGCAUAGAAGCCACCAACGACGACUCGACCACUUCCUCGGGGCUCCUCAGGACGCGUGCGGAGUCGGCAGUUAUUAACUAGUCUGUUCCGUCCAGUUAAUCUUAGCACUAACUCAACUGAAGUGUUCACCGUACGUCAACGAAGUAUUCACUCGUCAGUUUCAACACUGUACAGAUUAAUAAUGAGCUCGGGCCCACUGCUUUCCCUGGGCGUUUGGUACAUGAGUGGUCUGUGCCCUUUGCGUAGUAUAGGGCACGGCAGUCGGGACCCCUAGAACGAGAUAAGUUUGUUACGUAGAAGACCUGGUAUAUGCCUUAAGUCACCGUAAUAGGUCGGGGUCGUCUUAAAGUACCUCGACGUACCGGUAGGAAGUCUUGUAAGUAGUAGUUCCCUUGGAGGAUUGUACCAGUGGAGCGAAUGUCUCGUUUCGAGGAAACGAGGACAGUUUCUAUACUCCUUACUCUACAAUUACGUAAAGUACCUACCACGUGUCUCACCACGACCACCACCACUAGAGUAGGUGUUACUACGGGUAUCGUCACGUGUCGAACUAAAGCCGAACAACUUGUUGGGGUCAAGCCGCUCACAAGGUAGCCGUGGUCCGGUUCCUAACAGGGACUCGGAGUUGUGCGUAUAGGACCGUGGAAGUAUGGGUAUGACCAGGGGUUUCGGUCUGAACGACUGUUGGGUUAGAAUGGUCCCGCUACUUUUGUCUUACUUCUUAUACGUCAGCCUCCGGAGUGCCCGUUAGUCCUUAAGCUUCAUAGAUUUCCGUCGUGUUCUUAACGAACUACUCUAACAGUCACAAACCUUCUCAUAUUUCGUCUUGCGCGUCUUUCUGUUCCAACUUCGUCCUUUUUACCUACCGUUUCUACGGCUACUCCACAACUUUUCACUCCCCCAUAGAAGGUUAGGUGUCCUCAGAUGACGGUUACGCCUUGGACUCUAAAGACGUCGACUCUUUGUUCUCGAGGUCUUAUUCUACCGCUUUGAAAACCGGUACGACCUACUCCAACUGGCUUUCAUGUUCGUAAUAAAGGUAGUUUACGUUUAACAUCACAGCAGAAAGCUAUACUAACGACCCAGACCUCGACGGUUUGGAAUAUGACGUCAACGGGAAGUCUGUUAUAGCGCCGUGAAGGCUACAGACUUCCUACGAUAGUUGCUGGUCCAAUUACAAUAGGCUUUCUUUGACCCUCUCCUCCUAUCAAGUAGCCCGUCUCUCCCGUUCAAUUGAGCGGAGGCAAUGUAACUAGUCGUCAAUUCCGUUGUUGCUCGAAAGGUUGUCAUACCAUACAAUGGCGUUUUACGGACCUCCGGUGUCUCCCCUGACGGACUUUUGAGUCAAAGUUAAGAAGCACGAACCGACAAACUUGUGAAGGAAGUGGGCAUAGGUUUUCUAAGUCUUUUCGAUUACGAUCGCUCCGUUUGACCAAAUUGUUCUUCAGUCUAAAGCUUGACCAAGUAGUUACGGGCACAGGCGGAUACCUUUGGCUACUAGCUUCUGUACAUAUUUCUUCUCUGGCCCCUCCGUCUCGAGCUGAGUUUGAGGAGGAGCCUGUUGAAUGGUUCUUCGUUCCUGUUUUACCGCAGAACACUUCUGUUCCUUCUAGACUUUACGAGGUACUCGGUCCCGGUCCGAAUGGUUUGUUCACUCAAGUUUCGGUUGUACCUCUACCGCCCAGAGUGGCCUCGCGGCGGGUCGAAGGUGUCGCUCCGUUUGAGGCUGCUGCCGAAGUACUUGGACGACGACUUCCUGGUUUCUGGCCCGCUCCGCCUGCCGCCAGAGGAGGUACCGCUGCUCUCGCGCGCCAAGUACCGGAUGGUAAACCGCCUCGAGCCCCCUAUGGUCUUGUCGUUGCACAGCAACUGCGAUCCUGACGUCGUGCGGCUCUUGUCGGAGAGUCGAGGCUUGCGAGUGGCCGGUCCCAAGUGCCGGCCGCCUCCCCUUCUCCUAUAGAUGUUGUGGUGGCCCCGAGUAGGGCCGCCACCGCUGCGGCACCGGAGAAGCCUGAUGCUCGGCUGCUUGGUCGACCUAGUUGCCGUCGUCAAGCUCGGCAGCGGGGACGACGUGCUAAAGCACCGGACUUACUUGACUUUGCGAGCGGCCACUUGUAACCUCCCUCUACUACUAAUAAAACAUUAAACAUCCCGGUACCAUUAUUGCACGGACCUCUUCGUACCUUUAACAUCGACAUCAACGUAAACCAUAUCUUCUCUCUCCCCCAUAUCGUACUUUACAUAAUAUUUAAACACCCCCACCCCCACCCCCACCCCAUUUAUUAAAAACAUUUCUACUUACCCUUACCCAAUAUGCACAUUUUCCAAUACUGCCCUCUGCGUGGUAGGACAUUUCUUCAAUGCCAUUGCUUAUGAAGACCUGUCAAUAGAUAGCCCGUAUACUCUCCAUUAUAGUGGCCACCACGAACUUGAAC